This 490-nucleotide ribosomal RNA is filed under the name uncultured bacterium. Its description in RNAcentral is "partial 16S ribosomal RNA". It matches the Rfam family "Bacterial small subunit ribosomal RNA", at positions 30 to 507 of the family's 1533-position model. The record is from RNAcentral.
AUUGAACGCUGGCGGCAGGCCUAACACAUGCAAGUCGAACGGUAACAGGAAGCAGCUUGCUGCUUCGCUGACGAGUGGCGGACGGGUGAGUAAUGUCUGGGAAGCUGCCUGAUGGAGGGGGAUAACUACUGGAAACGGUAGCUAAUACCGCAUAAUGUCGCAAGACCAAAGAGGGGGACCUUCGGGCCUCUUGCCAUCGGGUGUGCCCAGAUGGGAUUAGCUUGUUGGUGGGGUAACGGCUCACCAAGGCGACGAUCCCUAGCUGGUCUGAGAGGAUGACCAGCCACACUGGAACUGAGACACGGUCCAGACUCCUACGGGAGGCAGCAGUGGGGAAUAUUGCACAAUGGGCGCAAGCCUGAUGCAGCCAUGCCGCGUGUAUGAAGAAGGCCUUCGGGUUGUAAAGUACUUUCAGCGGGGAGGAAGGGAAUAAAGUUAAUACCUUUGCUCAUUGACGUUACCCGCAGAAGAAGCACCGGCUAACUCCGUG